CUGGCCCAGAUCUCACCCUUCACCCAAGGAAACUCUGUCCCUGUUACUGAAUUUCCAACUUUUGUCAGAUAGACAACCUUCUCCAAGUUACCCAAACCUUAGCCUUGAAACCUUCUGUAACUAUUCUCCUCCCCACCAAUCCCAACAAGUCCCCACAAGCUUCCCAUCCAGCUCCUCCUGCCUUUGCCAGCCGUUAUCACCUGCCCUUUCCUUCUAGCUCCACUGCCCCUGCUCAGGACCUCUUUCCCCAUAACUGGAUUAUUCUGACAGUCUCUGAAUCGCCUCUGACUUUAGCCAGCUUUAACCGUGGUGUCUUUGUUCUCUCGGGUUGCUCCUGUAACUGUAACAAUCUCCUGCCCCUCCCCACCUACUUCACUUCCUGCCUGCUUUUCCAGCGGCACUCAGCUAUUCCUGUCUUUUCUGAGUAUCAGGGAGCGCUUGGGGCCUCUACCAACCAUGGGGAACUUAGCACAUCCUGCCUCGUAUCCCAGCUGAGGCUUUCACUUUACACCUCCUUCUGCCUGGCUGAGUUGGAAGGUCCAUGAUGUCCCCGCAUCAUUCGUGAUGCCCAAGGACCUAUUCUUACUAUCCAUCGACUGAUUCCAUCCAUCGCUACCCAUCUGCCACCCAUCUGUAACCAUCUUUCUUGCUCUGAAAAUAA
RNAcentral lists this long non-coding RNA (661 nucleotides) under Homo sapiens (human). RNAcentral describes it as "HSALNT0280076". Lineage: Eukaryota; Metazoa; Chordata; Mammalia; Primates; Hominidae. The record is from RNAcentral.